UCCAGCGGUUGUCAGCUGCCCAGUGCAGUUCUGUGCCUGUGCUAGUGUUACACUGCUGGGAGAGAAACAUGCCAUCAGAAUUAGCUGGUACUGUGGUACUGUUCUAGUGCCUGUCAGUGCCACGUUUUGGUAGCACUUUGCAUCCUUGAGAGUGGAAUAACUCUUUCCCUGUAGAGUUUGUCCUAGACUGGAUGCAAACACA
Molecule: small nucleolar RNA, 202 nt
Filed under: Pelusios castaneus (West African mud turtle)
Lineage: Eukaryota; Metazoa; Chordata; Testudines; Pelomedusidae
Description: Small nucleolar RNA SNORA74 (ENSPCEG00000017728.1)
Rfam family: Small nucleolar RNA SNORA74
About the family: U19 belongs to the H/ACA class of snoRNAs. snoRNAs bind a number of proteins (including dyskerin, Gar1p and Nop10p in the case of the H/ACA class) to form snoRNP complexes. This class are thought to guide the sites of modification of uridines to pseudouridines by forming direct base pairing interactions with substrate RNAs. Targets may include ribosomal and spliceosomal RNAs but the exact functions of many snoRNAs, including U19, are not confirmed.
Source: Rfam by way of RNAcentral